Molecule: long non-coding RNA, 227 nt
Filed under: Sorghum bicolor (sorghum)
Lineage: Eukaryota; Viridiplantae; Streptophyta; Magnoliopsida; Poales; Poaceae
Description: long non-coding RNA (SBIC_LNC011424)
Source: RNAcentral
AACCUAACUGCUUAUCAGUACCAGGUGAUCAGGAGCUCAGAAAGUCGUGACGAGACCAAGUACGGUACAUGCGAUUUUCCACAUGAUCAUGUUUGAUUUUUUUUCGCAGGAUAAGUCUGCUCCGCCCGUGUGCGCGCUACCGAAUCAGAUGGCGAAAGCCGCUGUUGGUUUGAUUUGAUCGGGGGAGUAGACUUUCCCAUAGGUCCAAUUUUCAGGCUUUUGCGUUC